AUGGGGACAACACUGCGAAAGUGGUGCUAAUACCGAAUGUUGUAUUAAGGGUGCAUACUCUAAAUACUAAAGGUGGCCUCUUUAUAUGCUACCACUAGAAGAUGGGUCUGCGUCUGAUUAGCUAGUUGGUGAGGUAAUGGCUCACCAAGGCGACGAUCAGUAGCCGGUCUGAGAGGAUGAACGGCCACACUGGGACUGAGACACGGCCCAG
Molecule: ribosomal RNA, 211 nt
Filed under: uncultured bacterium
Lineage: Bacteria
Description: partial 16S ribosomal RNA
Rfam family: Bacterial small subunit ribosomal RNA
Source: RNAcentral